Molecule: long non-coding RNA, 1119 nt
Filed under: Anser brachyrhynchus (Pink-footed goose)
Lineage: Eukaryota; Metazoa; Chordata; Aves; Anseriformes; Anatidae
Description: lncRNA (ENSABRG00000015725.1)
Source: RNAcentral
AUGGGGUGCCCCAGCUCCUGCCCCUGUCCUGGGCAGGGAGGAGCCACUCCGGGGGUCCUGGGGUGGCCGAAGGGGCAGGGGAGCUGCUGGGGCCAUCUCACAGCUGCUGCUGGGUUUAUUGGCAUUCAGUGCCAGGGAUGUCCUCUGCAGAGACAAACCUCAAAAUUACACUUUUGGCAGUCAUCGGGCAGUGGCCGGGCUGCGGAUGCGACCUGGCAAGGCUGUCCCUGCACCCUCCCUUGGCUACAACAUGUUCCCAGUCCUGCUCAGGGCUCGAUCUCUGCUCGUGGCAGUGCUGCUGGGCGAGAAAUCCUUAGCUGCAUCACUCAGAGCCUUUUGCCUUUGCUUUACCCAGGUGCUGUCCGGGCAGCCCAGGAGGACUGGCCAGAGCCUCGGGUGGGGGCUCCCUCCCUGCGGCAGUGUCCGGGCUGGCACCGUCCCCAGAAGCUUUCACCACGGGGAUGUUCGUGGGCAGGAUGGAGGAGGUGGGGAGGUCUCGGUGCUCUCCAUCUUUCGGAGGCCCUGGUACCCCACAGCCCUGCCAGAAGCCCAGGAUGCUCCCCCCGUUUCUGCACCAGGGCUUUAACCACCGGAGAGAAACCGAUGGCAAAGUCGGCCCCACUUCCCCCCAGCUCUGCUGUGAAACUGGAUCUGUUUCCUGGGAUUACGUGCAGCACCUUAAAGAAAAUAUUUACAGAAUUUAUAUUCACAUCCCGUCCGCCCUCCUCUCCGGGGGCUCUCCCGUGCCGCCCUCCUGCUCGCGCUCCAUCCCCCCACACCCCCACCCGCUGCCUUUGCCCCCACAAUGCCCGCCUUUGUCAGGGGAACAAUGUUUGCUCUCCAUCGAGGAUGGGGGGAUUGGAAAUGAAAAGGAGCUGCCCCCCCCUCGCCCCAGCCCCGUGCUGCACUCUGUGGCAGGAGAAGGAGGAAUUCCUGCAGGAAUGCCGGGGCGAGGGGAUAAAUAUUCAUGUGCUGGGGGAGAGGGAGGAAAGACAGAGUACGAAGGGCCCGGGACCGGCGUGUUGCGGGGUGCGUAAUUUUGUGCUGAAUAUCAAGGGCGUGCUGGGUGUUCUGCACGGGGUUCGCAGCUCCGGGAUGCAGAAUGGGUGCGGGAGAUAA